UACGUAGGGUGCGAGCGUUAAUCGGAAUUACUGGGCGUAAAGAGUGCGUAGGCGGUUCGUUAUGUCUGCUGUGAAAGCCCCGGGCUUAACCCGGGAAUGGCAGUGGAAACUGGCGGGCUUGAGUGUGGCAGAGGGGGGUGGAAUUCCGCGUGUAGCAGUGAAAUGCGUAGAGAUGCGGAGGAACACCGAUGGCGAAGGCAGCCCCCUGGGGCUAACACUGACGCUGAGGCACGAAAGCGUGGGGAGCAAACAGG
This 254-nucleotide ribosomal RNA is filed under the name uncultured bacterium. Its description in RNAcentral is "partial 16S ribosomal RNA". It matches the Rfam family "Bacterial small subunit ribosomal RNA", at positions 524 to 776 of the family's 1533-position model. The record is from RNAcentral.